This 301-nucleotide ribosomal RNA is filed under the name uncultured bacterium. Its description in RNAcentral is "partial 16S ribosomal RNA". It matches the Rfam family "Bacterial small subunit ribosomal RNA", at positions 509 to 807 of the family's 1533-position model. The record is from RNAcentral.
CAGUCGCCGCGGUAAUACGUAGGGUGCGAGCGUUAAUCGGAAUUACUGGGCGUAAAGCGUGCGCAGGCGGUUCGUUAAGACAGAUGUGAAAUCCCCGGGCUUAACCUGGGAACUGCAUUUGUGACUGGCGAGCUAGAGUAUGGCAGAGGGGGGUAGAAUUCCACGUGUAGCAGUGAGAUGCGUAGAGAUGUGGAGGAAUACCGAUGGCGAAGGCAGCCCCCUGGGCCAAUACUGACGCUCAUGCACGAAAGCGUGGGGAGCAAACAGGAUUAGAUACCCCAGUAGUCCCUGUCUCUUAUAC